RNAcentral lists this ribosomal RNA (772 nucleotides) under Staphylococcus equorum. Its description in RNAcentral is "bacterial SSU rRNA". It matches the Rfam family "Bacterial small subunit ribosomal RNA", at positions 59 to 812 of the family's 1533-position model. The record is from RNAcentral. Lineage: Bacteria; Bacillati; Bacillota; Bacilli; Caryophanales; Staphylococcaceae.
CAGUCGAGCGACGGAUAAGGAGCUUGCUCCUUUGAAGUUAGCGGCGGUACGGGUGAGUAACACGUGGGUAACCUACCUAUAAGACUGGAAUAACUUCGGGAAACCGGAGCUAAUGCCGGAUAACAUUUGGAACCGCAUGGUUCUAAAGUAAAAGAUGGUUUUGCUAUCACUUAUAGAUGGACCCGCGCCGUAUUAGCUAGUUGGUAAGGUAACGGCUUACCAAGGCAACGAUACGUAGCCGACCUGAGAGGGUGAUCGGCCACACUGGAACUGAGACACGGUCCAGACUCCUACGGGAGGCAGCAGUAGGGAAUCUUCCGCAAUGGACGAAAGUCUGACGGAGCAACGCCGCGUGAGUGAUGAAGGUUUUCGGAUCGUAAAACUCUGUUAUUAGGGAAGAACAAAUGUGUAAGUAACUGUGCACAUCUUGACGGUACCUAAUCAGAAAGCCACGGCUAACUACGUGCCAGCAGCCGCGGUAAUACGUAGGUGGCAAGCGUUAUCCGGAAUUAUUGGGCGUAAAGCGCGCGUAGGCGGUUUCUUAAGUCUGAUGUGAAAGCCCACGGCUCAACCGUGGAGGGUCAUUGGAAACUGGGAAACUUGAGUACAGAAGAGGAAAGUGGAAUUCCAUGUGUAGCGGUGAAAUGCGCAGAGAUAUGGAGGAACACCAGUGGCGAAAGGCGACUUUCUGGUCUGUAACUGACGCUGAUGUGCGAAAGCGUGGGGAUCAAACAGGAUUAGAUACCCUGGUAGUCCACGCCGUAAACGAUGA